This 466-nucleotide ribosomal RNA is filed under the name uncultured bacterium. RNAcentral describes it as "partial 16S ribosomal RNA". It matches the Rfam family "Bacterial small subunit ribosomal RNA", at positions 28 to 507 of the family's 1533-position model. The record is from RNAcentral.
GAUGAACGCUGGCGGCGUGCUUAACACAUGCAAGUCGAACGGAAAGGCCCAAGCUUGCUUGGGUACUCGAGUGGCGAACGGGUGAGUAACACGUGGGUGAUCUGCCCCGCACUUCGGGAUAAGCCUGGGAAACUGGGUCUAAUACCGGAUAGGACCACUUCUUGGAGGUUGGGGUGGAAAGUUUUUUCGGUGUGGGAUGAGCUCGCGGCCUAUCAGCUUGUUGGUGGGGUAAUGGCCUACCAAGGCGUCGACGGGUAGCCGGCCUGAGAGGGUGUACGGCCACAUUGGGACUGAGAUACGGCCCAGACUCCUACGGGAGGCAGCAGUGGGGAAUAUUGCACAAUGGGCGCAAGCCUGAUGCAGCGACGCCGCGUGGGGGAUGACGGCCUUCGGGUUGUAAACUGCUUUCGCUAGGGACGAAGCGCAAGUGACGGUACCUAGAGAAGAAGCACCGGCUAACUACGUG